Molecule: small RNA, 475 nt
Filed under: Pongo abelii (Sumatran orangutan)
Lineage: Eukaryota; Metazoa; Chordata; Mammalia; Primates; Hominidae
Description: retained intron
Source: RNAcentral
UUUCCUUUUGUUUUGAGAUGCAGAGCCAUUUCUUUUGGCCUCAUUCCUAGUAACCCAGGAUUCAGGGAAUUUGUCCCUGCUUUUCAGGUGGUAGUGAAGAAAGUGAGUAAACAACAUCGUUGGUAUCUUCAGAACACCUCUUGUGACCGAGAGAGCUGUUGGAAGGAAAAUAUUCUUCUCUCAGCAAGGGGUUUUUCUGCCUUUUUCCAAAUGCUGGUGAAAGCCCAGAAGCCCUUAGUGGGACAUAAUAUGAUGAUGGACCUGCUGCACCUCCAUGAGAAGUUCUUCAGACCCCUCCCAGGAGAUGAAUUUCCCGAGGGUGUCGAAUCUUUCCAAAGUCUAUGAAGUCCUGAACAGUGACUUGAAUCCCACCAAGAAUUCUGGACCAGAGAUUGUUCACGCAAGCAGGUGUGAGAAAUACGUUGAGACAAAGUGCCCCCACGAAGCUGCGUAUGAUGCCUUCCUCUGUGGGUCA